UUUAUUAUUUAGUGGUAGGCGAGGCCCUUGAGAACACAAGUCACGUAUGACUAUAUAAUCUAUAUAUUUCAAAUUGUAGGUCAUUUUAUUUUUCUAAAUUCAUAGAUAUUUAUGUAUUUAGACAUAAACUAUAUUUUUUUGCAUAUAAAUAUCUAUAAAUCUAGAAAACUAAAACGACCUACAAUUUGGAACGAAGAGAGUAUGUGUUUACGUCUGAGCGUGUGUAUUUAUUUUUUAGAAGAACUAUACCAUGCAUUUGUACAAGACAACAAACAAUGGCAACGAAGUUAAAUUAUACUGCUCCCGUACUACGCACCUAGCCAGCCAGGUCGGUCUUCAUUAAGAAUGACUGUGCAGGGCAUAUCUAGCUACAGUAGCUCCGCGCACGCAACUGACUAAUAAUGAUGCCACGUCUAGGAGAAGCGCUAAUGAUGCCAUGCCACAGCCACACUAAUCCGGUGAGAGGUUUGCAAGGCCGCCGGCCAUUGGAUACUUGUGGCAAGUCGCCACUCGAGCCCCUUGACCGGCGGCAGCACUUGCAAUAAGUGGCCCGACACCAUGAAUUGAAGAGAGAUCAGUGCACCACCAGGCAGAGCAAGCAUGUAUUCAUACACCCGUCGUGUGUGGUCGAUCGAAGCCAAGGGCGCAGGAAAUCUUCUGCUCGGCCAACCUCUGGUUUGCGAGCACAUACGGUGGAAAAAUAUAUUUAUUCUUUUUUCUAAAAUAUAGGUCGUUUUAAUAUUUCUAAAUUCAUAAAUUUUUUUAAUAGCUUCACGGAUGACACCAUGUCCUAUGCAUAUUAGUGGCCAGCCUUCACGCACGUUGGGUGGUGUUAGGUAUUCUAUCCUUCGAAGAUUCUUUGAAAAUACAGUAUUUAAAACUAGUCUUACGCCUAAAGCCUUGGUUGGUCAUAAAUUUAAGUGAGCCGAGUCGAACUGUUGCGUACUCGAACAAGUGGUAGUACCUCCUCCUCCUCCUCCUCCCCAAAUAGACGACCAGGGCGCGAUGGCCUGCAUUCUUGUAGUUGAUGCUUGAAGUAUGAACAAGAAGGUUCAAGCACCAAUGCAUACCAUUACAGGUGCUGGUGCUGAAAACAAGAACACAACUUGCGAAGCAUGUCUGUGCAUCGAUGCUGAUCUAUAACUUCCCGAAAGCCUCCGUGGAAGCGGAGAAAAUUAUUUCACACAUGGUUCAUUUGCCGCCAGUUUUGCUUCUAUGCAUAUGGGAAGGAUUUUUUUCUGUGGCCGAUCUUUUAAUCGGACCGGACCAAUAAGGUCACCAGUUCCUGGUUCAACCGGUGGUGUGGUCUGUUUUUUUCCUACUAGGAUAGUAUACUAUCUUUUUUUACAUUUUCUAUCUUUCAUGUAAGCGCACAAUGAUGAGGUUGAUUCUUAUAAACUAGCAGAUUAGUCAUUGUUGGUUUAGUCCUAAGCUUGGAUCCCAAAGCUGGAGGUUGUGGCGGCAACCAAAAUAAGUGAUGAUGGAACUAGGAUGGAAGCGGGACGGGAAAAUCGCGUCCCGACCGGCACCGUAUCCUAUAUAAACCGACUGUAUAUCGUAUUAACAUGAAAAACAGGGAACAGGAAAAAAUCAGAAAAAACCGGCAGGAACAAGAAUGGGAGCGGUGUUUCUUGACCGUAUUGGUGGUUCUUUGAUCAGUAAAAUUCCCGUAUGUAUUCCCGUAUUGUUUGCACCAAAACCUCUGCAUUCAGCCCACAUCUGCAUUCAGCCCAAGCCCACGGCUGGCGUCCCACGCGCGUGCCUGACGGCCUGGCCCGUUGGCCAGCGUCCCACACCUGCCGGCAGCCGCCUCAAACAAAACCAGCCCCCACUGGCCUCCUGUCCUAACCUAGCUUGCCUUCUCUCCAUUCCGAGGCUGAUUGGUUGGCUGUUUUUCCGUCAGCCAGGCCCUCCCGAUGCGACCAGCAUUUGAUAGGUUGGCUGAAUCACUUGGGGUACGAUUGGUUUCCUUCUCCGCCGAGCCUGGCUCGCACCACCCAUCUAGGCUCCCGUCGGCCAGGCUCGCCAGAUGCAACCCCCUUUUGAUUGGUUGAUGUUUGCAUGCAGCCUGGCUCGCGUGGGAAGUUGAUUGGUUGUCUGCUCCGCUGCAUUUUUUUGCCUCCGCGCUGCAUCCAUGCAUCCGCCGCUGCAUCCCAGGAGCCUGGCUCUGGAGAUACGAAGGAUUUGGUCGCAUCGCGGGAGCCAGGCUCCAGACGUUUUUUUGCAUCCCACGAGCCAGGCCUAGCAAGCAGCGCAUGCAACCAAUCGUAUGGAGGUCGCACACGGAGAGCUCGCAUCCGACCUGCAGGGAACCAGUCGCACCCUUGACUGGACCUAGCUCUGACGGUGCAAAACAGGCCAGGCUCCGCGCGUACGAGGAAAUUCCUCGUUUCCCCCGAGCCUGGCUCGCGCGAGCACACUUCCUGUGCGGAAUGAGAGAGCAGCGGUGCGAGAUAGUAAGCUGAACAGGCGAACAGGCCAACCAAUGAACCAACCAUUUUCCCUACAGAGCCAGGCUACCUGUGAACGAACAACCAAUCAGCUGCGGAUGUACCAACAGAACCUGGCCGACCGGAGCCUGGUUUGCUGAUACGAGCCAGGCUAGGCUGGUUCAGCAAACCAAUCAGGCCCGCCGCCGCCACCCAGGCACCAUCGUCUCCAGUCUUCGGCACUCCGCCACAGGCCGCUCCGUGCUUCCGUCCACUCCGCCACGGGCGCCGUCUCAGCUCUCGGGAUCCCGGCGUCUCGGAAAGGCGCGUAGCAGGGAGAAGGGAGGCACCUGCGCGGCUGGAUCUGUGCCCGUGCCUGUGCCUGUGCGUGUGUGAUGUAGUGUCAUGUGCAUGUCGCAUGUGUGUGUGUCUGAUUCCGCCGUUCUCAAUUUCUUGUUCUCGGUAUGCAUGUGCAUUCGCUGAUAUGCAUGUAAAAUUUAUUUGCUUAUUUGUGUAUUGUUUGCAUAUCAAUUAUGUAUGGUUGUAGCUAUUGCGUUGAGCUAAAUGUUUGAAGUGGUAACAUGUGUCGAUGUUCCCGAUUUGAGUUACCGAUUUCCGAUCGUAAUCGAUAUGUUCCGGUUGAAAUGUCCCGUAGGCGAGCCUCAGAAAGAAAUUCCGGGCAGUGGUCAAUUUCGUUUUUCUGUCCGGCUUUCCUGUUCCUGAUAAAAAAAUUCAGUUGCGGGAGUGGCUAGGGGAUUUUCCCGACCGUUCCCGAUCGUUUUCAUCCCUAGAUGGAAUGACUACUUCCAGCUACAAAGAAAUAUUGAUGAAGGCAUCCAUUUGAGACGAACAGGAUUCGCGUACAAAGUUAUCAAAAUGGGUGUGGGAAGGGUGCAGGAUAAGCUGUGUUAGGUUUGAAUAGCGUACUAGCCUCGCAAUUGCACGCUUGCACUUCGCUAGUUAUAGGUUUACGUAAACACGUGUGCGGUCCCAAAUAACUGGCUUUUCUAAAUACAUAAUAUAUUUAGGUGCAUGUCAAAAGCUAUGUAUCAAGAAAAGCUAAAACGAAUAGUAAUUUGGGACGCAACAUAAAGUUAGGUAUGUGGUCACGCAAUUCUCAUGCUCAUUGUACACAAACUUUGCUAAUUUAUACCACUACUAAGGAAUGGACCUUUCGUCCACGACAUCAGUACCAGUUGGAAUUGGACCUGGCACUAAUGUGAGCAUUAGUACCGGGCCUAACGGAUAGUCCCCGAGGUGUUCUCCGUGACCCCAUUUAGUACCUAGUGGGGUUUCCACCCGGUACUAGAGGUCCCCCUUUAGUACCGGGUGGAGCCCUCACCCGGUACUAAAGGCCCUAUAGCAUAUUAGAGGGUCCCUAACCGGUACUAAAGGCGUUCGCCUUUACCUAGUAGUGUACACAUAGUUUCUUCAAAGUACGUAUAUAUACAAGGUGAUCAUAAUUCAUAAAUAACUGAGUUUAACUCUAACAUUAUGCAUGCAUUAUAUCCAUACACGAACAUAUAUGAUGCUACUCUCAUCGAUGGACGACGAAGGCCCGCUGGUCUUCUGGCGGAGGGAUCACCACAUGCUCCUCUGCCUGUUAAUGAACUCCUGUGCCUGCCUGUCAAUGUCAUCUCCUUUGGCGGCACGACCACCAUCCCAUAGAGUACAGACGCCGCCGAAGACCGGGGGCCUGGGCCUGGGGACCAGGCUCAGGACCUGAUCGAUUUUCUCCACCUUCUGCACCGCCACCUCCCCGGCCGCCCUGCUGGCAGCGCCGGCGCCCUCGGCCGGAGCAGGGCUCUUGCUCUUGCCCCAACUGAACAUCUCCUUCUUGCUACCCAUACGAGCGAGCCUAAGGAAGACACCUGCUGGUUAGACACCUGUCUGGUUUUCUCGUUUGGAUUUGGUUCUGGACGAUGCCAUUGGCAACUGAUGGCCUUCGUUUAUAUAGGGAGCGUCCUCUUGGCUCUUUGAUACAGAUCUCAGAGAACGUGUUAGUUCUUGGGUUUCAGAUAAAAUCAAGCUGCUCAUGGCCAUGCAUGUAGGUCAAGUCAAUCAAACAAUUGGUCAUCACGCGCAGGCGGUCAGUCGCUUGAUGCGAUCGACGACGUUCGGGCGUUCGGCAGGUUGCCGAUCCGGUCACGGAUGGAUGGUUGCCGCGUCUGUAAGGGAUAUCGAUCAGAGAUGCCAGCGACUUGGACUUGGCUACGCUACCAACCCUGGUGCCACUAGCUGAUGGUAGUAGUGAACUUCGUCGCUGCCGGGGCGGCAACUUGGGUGGAAUCGAUCCUUUGGGUAAAGCGCAUGCAGGCGUGUUGCGCAUUUCGUACUGUAAUCUGGCAAAUUUUUGGUUCCUCGGAGGGAGAAUUGUUGAGCAAAUAAUCUUGCACUGCAUCCUCAAAGGCAACAGCAUCUUCACCAAUCGAAGCACUACUCUGGACAUCUCAUCAGCAAGAAGAUGUCACGAUGGGUACGUCAGCUGAUCUGGCGGUGAUCGGAGGAACAGAUAUGCGUAGUGGUGUGUGAUCGCAUUGAAAAAAUGGCUUUUGGAGUCUGAAACUGCAGGCAAAGGGACUCUGGAUAUCUCAUAUCGCAGCUACCUGUCCAGUAAUUCGACACACCGACAAUGCAAAUUGAAUGUGCACUUUUCCACUUUUAAAGGAAUCAUGAGAAAAUAGGAAAGUGCAUGCAGGUGCAAACCCGGAAAAAUCUCAUCUAGAUGAGAAAGCAAUGAGGAAAAAGGUUAUGGAUUGCCGCACAAAAUCAUACUAGCUUGAUCUUCUUUUUAUGUUGGUAUUACAGAAGAUGUACGAUGCAGAGAUUCAUUCCAUCUCGAACAACAGAUAUGCAAGGAUAUAUCAUGUAUAUGAUCUUUAUCACUCGUGGCCAUCCCGUACAGGGAAUCGAUCAUCUCCAUGCCAAAGAGAUACAGUGUUAUAUGGAAAACAUAAAGUUUCAGACAAUACGUAUGGCCAGCAUAUUCAUAUUUGCAUGGUUGUCUAACAAUUUAAUUACAUGUAGCUGAUCUAUACAAGUUGAGACGACUUGAGAGCCAGCCUACACUAGUCUCGAGAGGAAAGCUGUGAGAACAGACUGGUUAUGGAACCAUUGACCUUGACCCACUUGAACGCACCUGCCACCAACCCCAACCCUAAAUCCUCUAUUUUCACACGUAUAUGGGUAUAUGCAUAUGCGUAACUCUUGCGGUGAGACUACUCUCACAGUGCCAUAUGGGUUACCUUAUGAAAAAGAAAUAUCUACCAGCAAAAUGGACCAUGACGUUAUGCCAACCAAAAGAUCAAGGUUGAUUGAGAAUUACCCAAUCUACCAUUCAAAGUUAAGUGUCUCCUUAUCAAGUGGCUUAAUACGUUGCUUAAUGAGGUGAUGUCCGACAAAGCCUGCUAAAAAACAAGUACUUAGCUCAUAAAUCCCUCACUCAGAUAACUGGUAAAGCCAAGGAAUUCUCAAUUCUAGCCAAGCCAGGCUUAUGAAAGUCAAAUAUAGUUUUUUACAAUAUGGGCACUUAAUAGUUGAAAUUUACUUUGUUACUUUUGUAACAAAAAACAAACCAUUCAUCAUUUGUUUUCAAGUGUCAUUUUGCUAUGUCCACUUGCCGUAUAGUCAAACUUGCCAUACGCUUCUAGAUACACCUAAAAAUAAGGAUCAUAUAUCAUAUAUGCGGAUAUAUCUUCUACAAAAUUGCACCUACCUGUUGGGUUAAUUGAGACGACAAGCAAAGUUAAUUAGAGCAUUUUUCAUAGACUUCAAGAAUCAAGAGGAAAAAGCAGAGGAAAAAAGCAUGUUACUGCAAACAAAAGCGCUAUAAGAUUAACAGGGUAACGUGAACAUGUGGGGGACAUUCCAAUGAUAUUCAUACAAACAAGUUUAUUACCGGUGGAAGGCUGCAAGCCGUACACUCUUUAAGUUAAUACACAAGCAUACACACACUGAACGAUCGGGACCGGCGACCAGAAGGGGGUGAGCGGGAGCCGAUCAAAAUUCUCUUCUUGAACACAGAAAUUCGGCCUAUAUCCUAAAAGUCACCAUACACACAUCCCUUCUAGAAUUGUCAGAUCCACAGCCAAAUGAGAUGCUAUUGGACCUAAGAACAGUACUAGGAAGCCCUUGACAUAAAGCGGAAGCAAAUACAGAAAGAGCUAAAAAGGAAACAAAGGCAUCAGAAAAAAAUCGGAACCUUUGGAACCAAAACCGGAGGGAAAUAUUACCAAAAUUGGAGGGGAAUCUUCCAAAACUGGAGCUUCCUCUUCUCAAAACCAGAACGUCUGAUUUUGCCCAGACAACGUGUAGGAGCUCCAAGAAAAAUACCAAAACUUGACCAAACAAAUUCCAAAAUACAUGAGAUUUGGACCAUAGCUUUCCAAGACCAUCAAGAGUCCAUUCCCCAGAGAUCUCCCAAAAAGAGCAAGUUAAAAAAAAUGGAACUUCCUGUUUUGACUGCGCGGGACAAGAUCCAAAGAAAAAGGAAAACUCAAUCAAGUGACGUCCAAACUUCAUAAAAUUCUAGCCAAAGGUUUUCCUAGAUGGAGUGAGUCUUUGCCCAAAUGAUCUCCUCAAAAAGAUCAAAACUUCACCUUGAAUUUCAUGAUUUUGAUCAAGAACACAAGAGAAGGGAAUUUCGAGGAAAUCCAAAUCUGGGCUAAAUUAGUGAGGGAUUUGAGUAGGGAUCACAGAAAAAUUGCUCACAAGGAUCCUAGAAACAAAAACUCCCAACAAAUCUCACGGGAUUUGGGCUCAAACACCAAGAACAAAAAAAUCUCCAAAAAUACCUUCAAAAAUUAUGAAAAAGAUAAAUUUCAGAUCUUGAGAGGAUGGAACAAGUGAGCACGAAAUUGAUCUUUAGAUUACUCUAUCAAGUUCGGUUUAUGAGCCACUCUUAAGUACAAUCAAAACUAAGAUGGUAAAAAAAUCAAAUCAAAGAUCCUCUCAUCUCUUUCCCUCUCUCCUUCGAAAGGCCCUCACCAACAAAAUGAGAAGCCCACCACUAAAGAGUCUAAGAGAUAUGUAGCUGCCCCAACAGCCCUCUCCACGUAUAUAUUGGCAUCCGAAAAUAACCAGGAUACCCUUAUAUGAAGCAUACAACUCAAAUACCCCACAGGGGUAAAACCGUCCAUCUUUUUAUCGGUACAUCAGAUGGACCCCGCGCCUUCACGACUUCGCCUCGCCUCGACGCAAGCUUUGCGAUGGUGUCAUGCAUCCUCCGACUCGACGUUGUCCGACCGCACUGGACUCGUCCCCGGGUUUUGAGGCCAAAUCGAUCAAACAUUCUUGCAUACCUCACAGGCGUGACUCACCCCCGGUUUUAAGGCCAAACCGGUCAAACCCUCUUGCACACCCCGCAAGGCGUGACUCACCCCUAGUUUUGAGGUCAAACUAGUCAAACCCUCUCGCACGCCCCGCAAGGCGUGACUCACUGAUGUCAACACGUGUCCAGCCUCCGCCAAGCCUUCGACACCUCCAAGUCUUUCGCUCCCGCUCCCAGACCGCCUACUCGACUCGUCUCCGUCCCACUUGAAUUGACCGACGCUGUCUCCAUCCCCUUCGUGUGCUCUUGCUCUUCUGUGCACCAUGUGGGUCGCCCAUGACUUCGCCCGGACUCCUCGAGUCCCUCGGUCCAAGCCUACUCGUGUCCACCGUUCACAGCCCUAGUUCAUCAGCAUGAACCUUUCGCUUGACAUUCACCUCAUGCUGUCGACCGAAAUGUCUCAUCCUACACCUGCACAUCGCAAGCCAAGAGACACAACACAUAAAAUAUAUUUUACACACACCACACCACACCACACCACAACACAACACACACAACACAACACGUCCGGCUAGCCGUUAGUAUAAUCAGGCACAUAUGACAUAUGGACUCAACUGGUAAAAGUCUCAAAUCAUCCGGUCAAUCACUCAUCACAAAUAGACCAAGGCACCUCGACUUGGUCUCUCAUAAAAAUCUAUACCUAAUAUUAAAGUACGGUUGUUUCUUCCAACUAUCAUGGUUAUUUUGCAAAAAAAGUCCCUCAACUUUUUUUAAUCAACCCGCAGUUCUUGGAAUAUGUCUUGAUAAUUUUGCAAAAAGAUCCCCAAACUUUACUACAAUCGUGGAGGUGGAGGCGCCCGCGCCAGCCGACCUCGACGCCGGGGUCGGGGCCACCCGCGUUGGCCGGCCUUGCCUGGGCUGCACCGUCUGUCGCCGCUGUGGAGCUGGAGCCGGCCGGCCACCCGCGCCGCUGGGGGCCAUGCCGGCCGCCUCCGCCACCGGGGCCAGGGUCGGGGUGGUUGUCGCGCCGGCCGCCUCCGCUGCUGGGGUUGGGCCGAGGUGGCCGCACUGGCCAUCUCCACCGCCAGGGCCAGGGCCGGGGUGGUCACCGCGCGGCAGCCUCCGCUACCGAGGUCGGGCCGGGGUGGGAGCCGCGCCUGACGCCUCCGCUGCCGAUGUCGGGCCAAGGUGGCCGCGCCAACCGCUUCGCCGCCGGGGUUGAGGCUUGGGGUGGCCGCCAUGCCUGCUGCCUCCACCAUUGGGGUCGGGCUAGGGCUGGGGUGGCCGCCGCACUUGCUGCCUUCGCCACCGGCGUUGGGCCAAGGUGGCCACACCGGCUGCCGGGGCUCCUCCGCGGGGGCGCGUCGAAGAGGUAGGAGAGAAGAGAGAGAGGAGAGGUGGGAGAGAGGAGAGAGAGGCGAUAGGGCCGGGAGAGAGAGGAGAGGUGGGAGAGAAGAGAGCGAGAGGGAGGAGAUAAGGUUGGUUGGUGAGAGGGAAGGGUGGGAGGAGAGUUCAGCCAAUAGGAACAUUUGGUUUCGGAGUUGUGGAUCGAUAACGUGGCAAAUGUAUUUCUUCUCUGAACUUAUAACACAUUUUUGACUACUAAACGAUCUCGUAUGAAAAAGUUGUCAACUAUAAAGUUUAAAAUCUUAUCGAACUCGACAAUUUUGAUAUAAAGUUUGUAUUCAUCCGAGAUCGUAUGCAAAAGUUUGUAUUAAAAAAAUAUAGCCUUCAACCUAAUUAUUCCCAUUGUUUCUAUUUACAUACAGAGCCCAACAACGGUUGUACCGUCAUCAUCGUCAUACAUCUUGACGCCGCUCCCAUUGUAGGUCACCUUCUACCGCGGCAAUGGGACUUCGAGCGGCGGUACGCCUCUCAGAGCUGUGCUCACCCCCGCUUCUAUCGGAACGCACGAGUUCCAUGUGUGGAUCCCACGUAAUAAACAGAUGGCAUCAAACCACCCACAAAUAUCUUCUACUACUAUACUUGCAAAGAGAGGACUACUAGGGACAAUGCAUCAACAUAUUAUGAAGCGAAACUAACAUAUUAGGAACAAACGAAUAAUAAUAUGAGAGCAAGUAAGGACGACCCGUAGCAACGCAUGAGCAUUUCCGCAAGUUACUACUACAUACAGAUAUAUUUUUUUCACGAUGGGAUCAUAACAGGGGUUAAGUCUAGCUAAUUAACAUACUCCAUAUGGGCUACUGCAUGUAUACACGAUCGAGUUUCGAGUCGAGCAUAUAUGAUGCUUAAUUCAUGUUGGACGAUGGAACCACAUCUUCCGCUGCUUGAUGAACUCCUCCGCCAUCUUGUUGAUGUCGUCUCCUUCGCCACCGCCGCCGCCUCGUGGAGCACGCGCCAAGCCGUAGACGGAGGGCCUGGACACCACGUUGUGGACCUCGAUCUUGGGCACCUUCUCAACGGCCACCUCCCCGGCCGCGCCGGCGGCCGGAGCAGGGUUCUUGCCCCAACGAAUCAUCUCCUCCUUCUUGCUACCCGCACGAGCCUAGCAAGCAAGCUAAGGACUGCUCAGACGAUGGUUCUCCGGUAAUUUUCCUGAUCGAUCAGAUCGUUUGGAUUGAGUUGGCUGGACGAGGAUGGAGUUGGCAACCGAUGGACUAGGUUUAUAUAGCGAGCGAUCCUCUUGUCACUUAGCUACCGGUUCUUGGACGUUGAUGCACGUGUUCUCAGGCAUCCGAUUGCUUUAGAUAAUUAUUAGGAUGAGUGCCCCAGGUCCAUAGCCAUGCGUCUUGGUCAGUAGAGGUGACAUGUUUGGCAACUUGUCCGGUCUCAGAUGGCUGCUGUAAGGGAUCCCUGCAGAGAUGCGAGCAGCUUGGCUACGCUACCAACAACCGUCAGCCGUGUUGCCUGCCACUUGCAUUGCUGCUACGUCAAGUUCGUCGCUGCUGGGGCUGGGGCAGCAUCUUCGGCGGAAUCCUAGCUUUGGGUAAAGCGCUUGCAGGCGUGUUGCGCGUUUCGCCACUGUAUAUCUGAACAUUUUUGGUUGAGCAAUCGUGCGCCACACCCUCAAAGGCACGAGGCAUCUAUCUCAAUAGGUGGAAGCUGCCGGACUCGGGACACCGCAGCAGAGGUAGACGUCAGGAUGGGUACAUCCACAUUACCGGACGGUAUCAGGAAUAUAUGUGCUCAUCGCAUUGAACAACGACGCCUGGAGCCCGAAACUUCAGUUCAGAGUACAAGUCUGAAGGUAAAAGCACAGUGCGGCAGAACAGAGAAAUCUAAUUGGAAAUGGAAGAAUUGCACUGAAAUCAUGGCAUUGGUUUUUGCACAUAUAUAUAGCCAAUAAUCAUGCACAUUUGCUAGUUCUGACGCAGUGAUUUUUUUUUAUUUUUUCAUAUCACGAGCAACUAAUCUAUUAAUCCUCUGCACGCCGCAUUCUAAAAGUUGCUUUUGGUGGAUUCACGUUUACUAAAUCACUUUUCCCUUUGCGAAUCGUAAAUGCUGCUGCUGAGAUUGUUUAUUAAGAGCUCUUCUUCCCAGGUGAUAGGGUGGAAUCUAUGCUACCAAAUUAGUUUGGUAGUGGAAUCCCGAUUAGAUAAAAUAAUUGGCAUGAUUAAGGACACGCGACCUCGACUUACAUCUAAAGUACAAGAUCAUAUCAUCAUCAUGCGAGCAUGUCACUGCAAUUACAGCUAGCUGUCAAUUAGACACUCUAAACAGACUGAAAUGUGCACUUUCCAAUGUUUACAAGAAUCAAGAGAAAAGAGGAGAGACUGAUGCUAACAUUUAACUCUAGAAAAUCUAAUCGAUAUGAGAAAGCACUGAGAAAAAGUUUUGGAAUAUUGCCCCACAAAAUCAUCUGGACAUGAUCUGUGUUACAGAUGUACAACUUAGAGAUAUAUAUGUGAAAUCACUCUCUAACAACAGAUAUGGAAGGAAAGCAUCGCUUCUAUCUCCGUGCUUGCUUCUUACUAGAACAAUCUUGAUCUCAAUAUCUCAUCAUGAUCAUGCUGCACAAGUAAUAGAACCUGGUGCCAGAUAUAUGGUACAGUACUAUAGCAAUGCAAUGGCAUCUUAUUGCACCUUAAUUUCUAACAAAGCCUUAAUUACAUAUGUAGCUCUUCUUACAAGCUUCUUGGAACGUAUGCCUGUCAAGAUACUCAAAAAGAGUAUAAGGAAAACCCGCGAGAUGUUAGGAUAUGAUGUAUACACCGUAUACACAUGCGCAACCUGACGGCGAUGGAAAUGGGUAGAGGUGUUGAACAGAUUAAAACAGUGCUACGGCAAAUGGCCGUGGAGUCUAAAACACGGAUGCUGAGUUCUUGGUUUCCGAGAUGGAGGUCCUUUUAGCUCCACUAAUGCUGUUGGAAAGUGCUAUAUUCCCAACAGUUCAGUAGGAAACUGAAGGCAAAACUUCAGCGCUGCGACACAAAGCAAUAUAAUUGAAACUUGAGGAAUUGCACUGAGUUGCGUGUUUGAUUCACAUUAUUUAAUCUAUCAUGCGCGUUUCCUGCUAGCAUGAGUAUCUACUCUCUUUUUUUUUAACAAAAGUUUAGCAAGUAGCUAAGUUACCGUGUGCAAUUGAUUAAUUAACUAUUAAUUUUCGUGCACCUAAUUGAAAAAUUUGCUGUCAACUAGAUUUAGCUUUAGUGUAUUACUCUUCGCUUUAAAAUCGUAAACCUUUAAGUUGCUGAUGAGAUUGGCAAACGGCACUUGCUGGUUAAGAAUCCCUUCUACCGAAUUGGUUUGGCAGUGGAAUCUGAUUAGAUAAAAUAAAUGACAAGAUCAGGAAGGUGCAACAAUGGAUAUAAAAUCAGUACUGAUCAAUUGAUCAUAUCAUUAUGAUGCGAAUGUAUAUCUACCGCAGCUACGUGUCUGGCAACUCGACACGAAUAGCAAAUUAAGUAAUAAGCAUUUUCGAAGACUUCAACAAUCAGAGCUUCAUGAGAAAAAGCAGAACCAAAAGUACGUUGCUAUACUAGUGUUCAGGAAAGCAGUAAGAACUGAGUGGUAAGGGAAUAGCAUCAUAUCUAGCUCGACCCACUUCACCCCCUAUUUCAAAAUUUGAUUAUAAUGUGAAUGAUAGUGUCUAAUUUUCAAGAACCCAGCCCUCAACACUGGAAAUUCACCAAAAUUUUUGUAAAAAGUUUUGAUCAAAAUUUGGUCUCACAAGUUUUUAAGACCUGCUUUGGUCUCUCGAAACAUAGUCAUAUACAGCCUCAAAUGGAUAAUCAUUUGGAAGAAAGUGCAUGCUUAUUUUUUAUAAUUAGGUUCAUUUUAAAUAUUAUAAUCCAGAUUACGUGGCCUUUUCUAUCAAGAAUACAUUGGCCCCUUAAAAACUGAUUUGAAUAAUAAUAUAUGGCAGGCAUGUUUAUUCUAAAAGUACACACGUGCUGACACUUUCUCGCAGAAUCAAUGGUCACCAAAUAGAAAUAUCAUGGAACUCUCGUUCUCUGGAAGUGAUAGAAAUAUCAUGGAACUCUCGUUCUCAUGAAGUCAUAAGGGUUUGGGUGGUUCCCUGAAAGUCCAUAAGGGCAGUCUUAGUGGAAGGUUUUAUAAGAGUUUCAUUAACAUUAAAAUGUAUGCCACAUCAGUAUUUUUGCUGAAUUGGCAAGGCCAUAUUGAGAAGAAAGAAUGAAGAAUUUCAUCAGAUGUGAGAAGAGUUUCAUCAACAUGAUACUCAUCAGGCACAAUUACCAAGUUCUUAGUCUUGGUAACUGUGCCAUGAAACUAUGCACUGAAACUGGCCUAAGGUUUGGGUGGAAUACGUGCCUUUUCUCAAUCUGUUCCCCACACAAAUUGUUCGAGGUGUUGUUCUCCAAAUUAUUUCAGCAAGUGGGAGAUAAAGAAUGGAUGCAAGAAACUAACGCAUAUGCUGAUUAAUCCAGCUAGCAAGCGUGCUUAGUCCUGUGCAUGGAUAGAUGCAUCCUGAAGACGAAUUGAGUUCUUAUUCGGCGCACAUCAUACAGAAAAGAAAACCCAGAUUGCUCGGCCAGGAAAGCUUUAUAUAUUCAGCAAAGCUAAACAUCAGCAUCAAAUCAAUCACUGGCGAAAAUGUGGCGUAAUUCGGCAAAGCCGGCCCCAAAUGCAAGAGUAGGUUGAGUGAUAAAGAUCUGCUAGCUAGCUCAUGCACAGUACCAGGGGGGUCGAUGCUGUGCUUGAUUGAUCAUGUUCAUGUCAAUGGCAAUCGCAGUCCGACGAUCCAACCCGAAAUUGCAACCAGAAUCAGGCGACAUGACUGAUCUGAUGGAGCAACCUGCCAAUUAAUGUGAAUCAAAUGUGCUGCUCAGACAGCUCCACGUACGUUACCUAUCUAGUGAGUGCUUCCUGCAUGCCUAGAUUGAUCGAGUGAUGCAAACGUCAGCUUACGGUUGCACGUUUUCGCAGAAGGCAUCAGGUGCCUUCCACACCGCCACCGCCAACCUUGACUACUCCAUCUCCAUCCUUAACGUCCUCCAUCCAUGCUGAAGUGAGAUUUAUAUAUCUGGAAAGACGACUUGUUCCAUUGUGACUGCUGGUAUUUUCUCAGCCUCUUCCCCCCUUUCAGGAGACUGUCUGAAACAGUGGUGAUGACUUGCCGGGUAAAAUUCAGACCCUAGACCCCGACAGUUAUUGGACGACCAGGUGUUUGAUUUAACAAGGGUGGUGAUAGACCAACUGACUACAGUCCUUGAAACUUCAUAUGACGAAAAAAAUGAGCAAAAUCCAGUAUAACCCAACUUUUGGCAUAAUAUUGAAUCCUUACUGCUAAUCAUUUUGGAAAUGUUUGGAAAGCAGAAAACUAAAUGCAUGAGAAAAGGAACAAUUAUAGAAUAAAAUAUAGCAGUAAAUUUGAGAACAGGAUUUUUGUCCUAAAAGAUUGCAAUUACUUAUGUUUCGGCAAGUGGGAGAUAAACAAUCAAUGCAAGAAACUAAUCCAGCUAGCAUGUUCACCAGUGCAUGGAAGCAUCCUGAUGAAGACGCAUUAAGUUCUUAUUCGGUGCAGAUCACGCGUAAAAAUGCUGUACUUGGUCAGGACCUUACUUUAUGAGAGCUAAAUAUCAGAGUCAAAUCACAGGCAAAAUGGGGCAUAAUUAGUCUUGGAUGGAAUGGAACGUAGCUUCCAGUCUUGUAGUCUUGCAUUGUUAUCUUGUACGUAUGCUGAGCUUACAUGGAGGGCAAUAGAUCAUCUCUAGAUGAUCUCAUCCAAACCCAAGAGAGAUUGAUGAUAUAGUACAGGGUGUUAGAAUCUAAUACCUCUCGUUAUGCGCAGCAGUCCUCGGAUCUAGAAAGGAUAUUGCAAGUACAACAUGAGCUUGCACCGUAUCAAGAACAGCGUAUAUGAAUCUCGUAGAAAACCCUAGAUGAUAGCAUUGAAGCAACCACGAUAAGAGAAUAGGAUUUUGGCGAAACCGACCAUAAAUUCUUUAAGCACAACUCCAAAAGAGUACAGAUAAUUGUCGCUCCCUCACAACCCUACUUGACCCUCUAUGACCCUCUGAUUCUUGCCCUAUACAAGAAUCUAGUGCUAUAGAAUGUCUAACUUAUCCCUCUUGAGCGUUCCUAAUUGCCUCUCACAAGCCUUGGAUGAAAACUUGGUGUUUUCCUUUGACUUGAUUUAUUCCUAGAGGCUCCACCCCCUUGUUUAUAUAGUCCCCUCCAAGUCCCUCAUACAUGCAGAUAGGAGUCUUACACCUAAUAGGAUUCAACACUCAAGUCUUAGUAGAAAUAGAAGUUCUAAUAGCACACCCUUAUAGAGUUCUAAUGCAAGUAGAAUUUGAGUCACCACACAAGACAGAGAUUGAUACCAUCAUUGAUCCAUCGUGUUCGUGGCAGUCGCAAUCAAAAUACAAGUCUAUACCACACUGGAAUCAAAUAAUUUCUGUUCGAUUGAUCGAGCAAACUUCUGAUAUGCAAAUCUAGAUAUUUAGCUAGCUGGAUCUAUCGAUCGAUGCAAAGAUAAGCAAGGAGUUGCUCGUUGCACGAGCACAUCGGGUGCCUUCCACACCAGCUUGGGCAUUUGACUACUUCGAUUAGGCUGUGUCUCCAACGUCUUCUGUUACUGAAGUUGGCAUACAUGAACCGUAAAGCCACAGUGUCAGAGAGGACGACUUCAUCCCUUGUGUGAACUGAUCUUUUAUCUACUUUUUAACCGUUCCCUAUCAGGAGAUUGUCUGAAAUGGUCAUGAUACCAGGUAAAAUUUAGCCCUACCUUUGCAACCGGACAACACUGGAAUCUUUGAUGGCAAGAUCAAUGAGGCGUUUGAUUUCAGAAAUAGCAGUGAUGAUAGAAAGACUGCAACUAACCCCAGUCAUUGAAACUUGUUCAGAAAAGAAAACGAGGAAGAACCAGUAUGAUCCAACUUUUGACAUAGCACUGCGUCCUUAUUAACUUAUAUUUUGAAGACAUUUCCCAAACAAAAAGAAAACACGAAAAUACAUGAGACGGUGACAUGUUCUUUGGAUACAGCUUGGACUAAAAUGCCCAAAACCUUAUGGGUAAACCGACUGGGAUAUUACAAAGGGAAAGCACAAGAAUAAGACAUAGAAGAAAGAAAACAGGAGUUAAUAGACUUGUAUCAGCUUUCCCUCAAAAGUUCCUAAUAUUCGAUUCUGUAGCUGUUUCAAAGAAGCCAUCUCUUUUGCUUCAAAGAGAGCCUUAGCUGGCAGCAGUGUAUGUAUCUGACUGCAUCCUGAUUGUCAUGACACUAACAGUAUAACUGUACAACUUUUUGAAAAAUUAACAUUAUAUUAAUAAUCAAGGUAAUUUUCUCUAUACCAUAUACAUAUCCAACAUGCAUACAUCCAUAACAGCAUUUAUAACUAAAGCAACAUCUUAUAUAUUCCAUCCCAGCGUAAUAUCAAAUAUACAUAUAACCAAACCAAUUCCAUGGAUGCAACAGUAUAUUAUCAGACCUUCACCUUGUCACACGGACUCAAACCUCAAAGUAAGCAAUAAGUAGUGCUAGCCAAGAAAUCGUUUCUUCAUCUCUGUGAUGUACCUUUCAGACCUCUUGUUGAUGUCUUCUACAGAGACUAUACCCUUGCUUGUGUUCCCAGUCUUCUUCCAGCCUGUGACAUCAUGACCAGAAGUAGGAUACUUUCCAGUUGCCACCAUCGGCUUAUUAGCAUAGAUUGAUGGCUUGGUGAGGAGGUUGUAGACGAGGUCAAUUUUUUCAACCUUUUGAAUCCUAACCUCACCUUCCAAGGGAGGAGCCAUGGUGGUCUUGGCACGUCGAAACAUCGUCAACUGGGUUUUGUUGGAAGAGAGGAUGCUGUAUUGCUAAGGUAGAUUUUGCUCUUGAGCUUGCUUGGUACCAGCAGGAUGAUGGUGGUCUCUAUUUAUAGGCGGCUUGGGAGUUUUCCUUUGAGAUUCUCUAGCAAGGCACCGUUACCAUUUGUCUUUAGUUAGAGAAGCAAUCAGUAGUAGGCCCAUUUGUUGUCUGAAAUGUCUUUGCUAG
This 17099-nucleotide long non-coding RNA is filed under the name Setaria italica (foxtail millet). RNAcentral describes it as "long non-coding RNA (SITA_LNC001828)". The record is from RNAcentral. Lineage: Eukaryota; Viridiplantae; Streptophyta; Magnoliopsida; Poales; Poaceae.